This is a long non-coding RNA of Mauremys reevesii (Reeves's turtle), 194 nucleotides long. RefSeq lists it as uncharacterized. The record is from RefSeq and is a predicted model, not a curated record. The transcript is spliced from 3 exons. NCBI's taxonomy places the organism in Eukaryota, Metazoa, Chordata, Testudines, Geoemydidae.
CUAUUGCAUAGUUCAGCUAGCCCGUUCUUCUCCUGAUGAUCUGAUAGCCUUUCUGCACUCUCAACUGAAGAUUGAGAAUGAGGCUGUUCGUGUGGCAUCUCUGAAUCUGCUCAGAGCUAUUGUUGGUGCUGACUUGCCCGAGACAAGACUGAAAAAGUUGCUGAUUGUGAAGGCAGUGAAAUCCACUUUCAGUG